AACAUCGGGAAACCGGUGCUAAUACCGCAUAACACAUUGAAAUGGAAUCAUUAUGAUGUCAAAGGAGGAAUCCGGUAUAAGAUGGGCCCGCGUCCAAUUAGCUAGUUGGUGAGGUAACGUGCUCACCAACGCGACGAUUGGUAGCCGAACUGAGAGGUUGAUCGGCCACAUUUGUGACUGAGACACGGCCCAGACUCCUACGGGAGGCAGCAGUGGGGAAUAUUGCACAAUGGGGGAAACCCUGAUGCAGCAACGCCGCGUGAAGGAUGAAGGUCUUCGGAUUGUGAACUUCUUUGAUUGGGGAAGAAGAAGUGACGGUACCCAAAAGACAAGCCACGGCUAACUACGUGCCAGCAGCCGCGGUAAUACGUACGUGGCAAGCGUUGUCCGGAAUUACUGGGUGUAAACGGCGUGUAGGCGGGGAUGCAAGUCAGGUGUGACAGCCCAUGGCUCAACUGUGGGACUGCAUCUGAAACUGAAUCUCUUGAGUACUGGAGAGGGAAGUGCACUUCCUAGUGUAGCGGUGAAAUUGCGUAGAGAUUAGGAGGAACACCAGUGGCGAAGGCGGCUUCCUGGACAGUAGCUGACGCUGAGGCGCGAAAGCGUGGGGAGCGAACAGGAUUAGAUACCCUGGUAGUCCACGCCGUAAACGAUGCUCACUCGCUGUUGGCGAUAUAUUGUCAGCAGUUAAGCUAAAGCAUUAAGUGAGCCACCUGGGAAGUACGUCCGCAAGGAUGAAACUCAAAGGAAUUGACGGGGGCCCGCACAACCGGUGGAACAUGUGGUUCAAUUCGAUGAUACGCGAGGAACCUUACCUGGGCUUAAAUGUAGUUUGACUUCCGCCGAAAGGCGGUUUUCCUUCGGGACAAAUUACAAGGUGCUGCACGGCUGUCGUCAGCUCGUGCCGUGAGGUAUCGGGUUAAGUCCCUUAACGAGCGCAACCCCUAUUGUUAGUUACCAACAGGUUAAGCUGGGGACUCUAGCAAAACUGCCAGCGUAAGCUGGAGGAAGGUGGGGAUGACGUCAAGUCAGCAUGGCCCUUAUGUCCAGGGCUGAACACGUGUUACAAUGGCCGAUACAAAGGGCAGCCACCACGCGAGUGGGAGCUAAUCCUUAAAAUCGGUCUCAGUUCGGAUCGAAGUUUGCAAUUCGACUUCGUGAAGCUGGAAUCGUUAGUAAUCGCGCAUCAGCAAUGGCACGGUGUAUACGUUCCCGG
RNAcentral lists this ribosomal RNA (1216 nucleotides) under uncultured organism. RNAcentral's name for it is "bacterial SSU rRNA". It matches the Rfam family "Bacterial small subunit ribosomal RNA", at positions 145 to 1377 of the family's 1533-position model. The record is from RNAcentral.